RNAcentral lists this ribosomal RNA (1521 nucleotides) under uncultured Planctomycetales bacterium. RNAcentral's name for it is "16S ribosomal RNA". It matches the Rfam family "Bacterial small subunit ribosomal RNA". Lineage: Bacteria; Pseudomonadati; Planctomycetota; Planctomycetia; Planctomycetales. The record is from RNAcentral.
CAUGCAAGUCGAACGAGGAUAUAUCCUUCGGGAUAUAAGCCGAGUGGCGCAAGGGUGAGUAAUGCAUAGAUUACCUGCCUCUAGGAUAAGGACAACUUUGUGAAAACGAAGCUAAUACUUAAUAAUACAAAAGAAAAUAAUUUUCUUUUGUCAAUGGGAGGGUAGCAAUACCUUUUGCCUAGAGAGGGGCUUAUGUCCUAUCAGCUUGUUGGUGGGGUAAUGGCCUACCAAGGCGAAGACGGGUAGCCGGUCUUAGAGGAUGGUCGGCCACACUGGGACUGAGACACUGCCCAGACUUCUACGGAAGGCUGCAGUCGAGAAUCUUUCGCAAUGCCCGAAAGGGUGACGAAGCGACGCCGCGUGAGUGAGGAAGGCCUUAGGGUUGUAAAGCUCUGUCAGGAGUUAAGAAAUAUAAGUGUGUUAAUACCACAUUUAUUUGACGAAGGCUCCAAAGGAAGCCACGGCUAACUCUGUGCCAGUAGCCGCGGUAAUACAGAGGUGGCAAGCGUUGUUCGGAAUUAUUGGGCGUAAAGAGCACGUAGGUGGGUUUGUAAGUCAGAUGUGAAAGCCUUCUGUUCAACGGAAGAAUUGCAUCUGAGACUGCAAGUCUUGAGUGUAGGAGGGGAGAAUGGAACUUCUGGUGGAGCGGUGAAAUGCGUAGAUAUCAGAAGGAACGCCGGCGGCGAAAGCGAUUCUCUGGCCUAUUACUGACGCUCAGUGUGCGAAAGCUAGGGGAGCAAACGGGAUUAGAUACCCCGGUAGUCCUAGCCGUAAACGAUGGGCACUAAGUAGAGGGAAUUACCGAUGUUCUCUCUGCCGUAGCUAACGCAUUAAGUGCCCCGCCUGGGGAGUACGGCCGCAAGGCUAAAACUCAAAAGAAUUGACGGGGGCUCGCACAAGCGGUGGAGCAUGUGGCUUAAUUCGAUGCAACGCGAAAAACCUUACCGGGGCUUGACAUGGUAGAAGUAGGAACCCGAAAGGGUAACGAACGGUAUCCAGUCCAUAGCUAUCACAGGUGUUGCAUGGCUGUCGUCAGCUCGUGUCGUGAGACGUUGGGUUAAGUCCCCUAACGAGCGAAACCCUUGUUUUUAGUUACCAGCGGGUUAUGCCGGGUACUCUAGAAAGACUGCCGUCGUCAAGACGGAGGAAGGUGGGGAUGACGUCAAGUCAUCAUGGCCCUUAUGCCCCGGGCUGCACACGUGCUACAAUGGUCGGUACAAACGGAAGCGAAGCCGAGAGGUGAAGCGAAUCCUAAAAAGCCGAUCUCAGUUCGGAUUGGAGGCUGAAAUUCGCCUUCAUGAAGUUGGAAUCGCUAGUAAUCGCGGAUCAGCAAUGCCGCGGUGAAUAUGUUCCCGAGCCUUGUACACACCGCCCGUCAAGCCACCCAAGCAGGAUGCACCCGAAAACAUUAUAUCUAACCAGGGCAACUUGGAGGAAAGUGUUGAAGGAGUGUUUUGUGAGGAGGACUAAGUCGUAACAAGGUAGUCGUAGGAGAACCUGCGGCUGGAUCACCUCCUUUCU